CCUUAAGCAGUGAAUAUAAUGGCUAGAAGAAUUGUACUGUAAAGUGCAGAUGAAAUUAACACGUGUCAGGAGCUCUAGUAAACCAGGAGGUAUUUUGAAACGACCUUUUUAUUAAAUAAUGCCAUCUAUGACAUGACCUUUACAGGUACCCAUGAUGAUAAAUUUGUUUUAAGUACAGAGGACAUUCUUAUGGGGCUCCCAAGACUGUCCUAUAGAUUUUAAAUGAAACAUAUCAGUAUUACUAAGUCUUUGUUUCUUAGUCUUCAAGGGUAGUGAAGCCCUUUAUAUCCUUGACUGCUGACCCAUAUAAUCCCACCGCUGCCCCAAUAACACACUGUAGUCUCCCCUAGGUGACCUUGCGUCAUACUCCUUCCUUUUUGAUUACGCUGUCCAGGGAAAACCACCAGCUGUGACAAUAAGAAAACACAAAGAGAAAC
Pelobates cultripes (western spadefoot toad) is the source of this 437-nucleotide non-coding RNA. Lineage: Eukaryota; Metazoa; Chordata; Amphibia; Anura; Pelobatidae. The record is from the annotation of a GenBank genome assembly.